CUGAGGCAGAACAAAAUACAUUGUGCGCAAGGAUACAAGCCACAUGCUGCUCUCCAGCCUGCUAUGGGCGUCUGUGGCCUUCAUCUACUCUGGACCCAGUGUCGCCCAGAAAGUGACGCAAGUCCAGCCAGCCACAUCUGGGAGAGAAGGGGAAGCAGUCACUCUUGAUUGCGAAUAUGAACAACAGUGGAGUACAAACUAUCUUUUGUGGUACAAACAACCUCCCAGCGGAGAGAUGAUGUUCCUUGUUUUGACUGCUUCUGGUCAGACUAAAAAGACUGGUCGCUAUUCCGUCAAAUUCCCAAAAGCUAACUCUAUGAACUUAGUCAUUUCUGGUUUACAGAUGGAAGAUUCAGCAAAGUAUUUCUGUGCUAUUGAAGAACCACAGUGCUUGAAGUGACAGUAAAAGCCGAACAAAAACUCAGGCUCUCCACACGAGAUAGGCUCUGCCGCAGGAGCCCAGCUGA
Chinchilla lanigera (long-tailed chinchilla) is the source of this 467-nucleotide non-coding RNA. Lineage: Eukaryota; Metazoa; Chordata; Mammalia; Rodentia; Chinchillidae. The record is from the annotation of a RefSeq genome assembly.